This 433-nucleotide ribosomal RNA is filed under the name uncultured Sphingobacteriales bacterium. Its description in RNAcentral is "bacterial SSU rRNA". It matches the Rfam family "Bacterial small subunit ribosomal RNA", at positions 952 to 1382 of the family's 1533-position model. Lineage: Bacteria; Pseudomonadati; Bacteroidota; Sphingobacteriia; Sphingobacteriales. The record is from RNAcentral.
CGAUGAUACGCGAGGAACCGUUACCUGGGCUCGAACGUAAAGAUGACUGGUAGGUGAAAGCUUACAUCUCUUCGGAGCAUUUUACGAGGUGCUGCAUGGUUGUCGUCAGCUCGUGCCGUGAGGUGUCGGGUUAAGUCCCAUAACGAGCGCAACCCCUACCUUUAGUUGCCAUCAGGUAAUGCUGGGGACUCUAAAGGAACUGCCUACGCAAGUAGUGAGGAAGGCGGGGAUGACGUCAAAUCAGCACGGCCCUUACGUCCAGGGCUACACACGUGCUACAAUGGCCGAUACAGAGGGCAGCUACCUGGUGACAGGAUGCAAAUCUCCAAAGUCGGUCUCAGUUCGGAUCGGAGUCUGCAACCCGACUCCGUGAAGUUGGAUUCGCUAGUAAUCGCGCAUCAGCCAUGGCGCGGUGAAUACGUUCCCGGGCCUU